This is a non-coding RNA of Triticum aestivum (bread wheat), 78 nucleotides long. NCBI's taxonomy places the organism in Eukaryota, Viridiplantae, Streptophyta, Magnoliopsida, Poales, Poaceae. The record is from Rfam.
UGCCGAUGAUGCAUAAAAAUGCACGUAUUAUCGGAUUGUUCCAUGACGAUCAAACACAUUGUCACUACCACUGAGGCA